GACAACACACAAAAACAAGCUCAUCAAGGCUUUCAUGAAAAAAAACUGCUAGGCUGCAGGACAAUACAUCAACGAAAAGUACUACUGCAAAUCUUUGUGUCAUGUGGCAUUUCACUAAUUGCCAUGUUUUCUUCCACCUGUGUGACCUGAACAAGUUGCACUUGUUAAUUGCGACUCAUUUAGUUUUGGUUUUUUUAAGUAGACCAAGGUGUAUGCCCUAUUGCCAUCUUUUGUUAGAUUUUCAAACCAAUUUUGCUUCAAGGUGUAUGACACACAAAAUAUAGGGAGCAGGAAACCAGGCAAUACACUUGUCUUCAUUUUCCACCAACCACCAACCUGAUAGGGUUGAAAGUAAAUACAUAAUCAGACAGUGGGCCAUAUUUUCGUGACCAAUGGACAUAAAUCCGGCGCGGCAGUCGGUGCAACUGUGCGGCAGGGGCGGGUCAGACAGGUGUUGGUCAUUUCAUAGACCAGCGCAGCUCGGCAGAUCCGAAAGUGGGCGGACCGUGCCAGUGUGGGUGUGUUCACCGCCGACUUAAUUCGCCACCAAUCAAAGUGGCUGCUCGCAUUCCCUUUAAAUGUAGCGCAAUGACAGUCUUGACAGAGACUGUGUUGGAAGGACGAUCUGUAAUCGCAGCGAUCCGUACGUGAGUGGAGCAUUGUGACUGCUCUUGGCCAGUAUAGCAACAAUGGCCACUUUAAAGGGGCGGUUCUUGGUGUCUUUGGUCUCGUAGGCAGCCACACAGCGGUACGUCUCGGUGACAAACGGCCGAGUGACAGCGAAACCUCCUCCGUCCCCAACUCUUCCUCCUCCUCCUAAUCCUCCUCCUCCCCCCAAGCUGACAUCUGACAGCAGGAUCAUGGCGCUGAGUGACGCACAAGUCAGCAUGUCAGUUGGUCUCUCCAUCGCCGUUGACGAAUCAUUGAGGAGAAAGCUACCUGUUCU
This is a long non-coding RNA of Phyllopteryx taeniolatus (common seadragon), 946 nucleotides long. RefSeq lists it as uncharacterized. Lineage: Eukaryota; Metazoa; Chordata; Actinopteri; Syngnathiformes; Syngnathidae. The transcript has 4 exons. The record is from RefSeq and is a predicted model, not a curated record.